GUAGGCUGCAACUCGCCUACAUGAAGCUGGAAUUGCUAGUAAUCACAGGUCAGCAUACUGUGGUGAAUACGUUCCCGGGCCUUGUACACACCGCCCGUCACACCAUGAGAGUUGGAAAUACCCGAAGCCUGUGAGCUAACAGUAAUGAGGCAGCAGUCGAAGGUAGAGCCAAUGAUUGGGGUGAAGUCGUAACAAGGUAUC
RNAcentral lists this ribosomal RNA (201 nucleotides) under uncultured bacterium. Its description in RNAcentral is "partial 16S ribosomal RNA". It matches the Rfam family "Bacterial small subunit ribosomal RNA", at positions 1300 to 1500 of the family's 1533-position model. The record is from RNAcentral.